This 45-nucleotide non-coding RNA is filed under the name Trichobilharzia regenti. The record is from RNAcentral. Lineage: Eukaryota; Metazoa; Platyhelminthes; Trematoda; Strigeidida; Schistosomatidae.
AUCAGGCUGACGAGUCCCAAGUCGGACGAAAUGCGCAUCCUGGAU